This is a non-coding RNA of Megalobrama amblycephala (Wuchang bream), 375 nucleotides long. Lineage: Eukaryota; Metazoa; Chordata; Actinopteri; Cypriniformes; Xenocyprididae. The record is from the annotation of a RefSeq genome assembly.
AUGACCUUCAUCAUCAUCUUCAUCUGGACUCUCACAGCAUUUGCUCAAGAGUGUAGAGGACAGAUCACCGUCACUCAGAGUCCCUCAAUGACAGCAGCUCAACCAGGACAAACUGUGAACAUCAACUGUAGAACCAGCAGAGAUGUGGCCAGUUAUUCCGGAACAUAUUUUUUCAGCUGGUACUUACAGAAACCUGGAGAAGCUCCUAAACUCCUGAUUUAUUAUACAAACCGCCUCCAGUCAGGAACUCCAUCUAGAUUCAGUGGCAGUGGAUCUAACAGUGAUUUCACUCUGACCAUCAGUGGAGUCCAGACUGAAGAUACUGGACAUUAUUACUGUCAGAGUUAUCACAGUGGUGGUGUGUUCACACAGUGA